GGGGCUAUAGCUCAAUGGUAGAGUAUUUGCAUGGCAUGCAAAAGGCUAGGGGUUCGAGCCCCCUUAGCUCCA
RNAcentral lists this transfer RNA (72 nucleotides) under Endomicrobium sp. RNAcentral's name for it is "tRNA-Ala". It matches the Rfam family "tRNA". From Rfam's summary of the family: Transfer RNA (tRNA) molecules are approximately 80 nucleotides in length. Their secondary structure includes four short double-helical elements and three loops (D, anti-codon, and T loops). Further hydrogen bonds mediate the characteristic L-shaped molecular structure. tRNAs have two regions of fundamental functional importance: the anti-codon, which is responsible for specific mRNA codon recognition, and the 3' end, to which the tRNAs corresponding amino acid is attached (by aminoacyl-tRNA synthetases). tRNAs cope with the degeneracy of the genetic code in two manners: having more than one tRNA (with a specific anti-codon) for a particular amino acid; and 'wobble' base-pairing, i.e. permitting non-standard base-pairing at the 3rd anti-codon position. The record is from RNAcentral. Lineage: Bacteria; Pseudomonadati; Elusimicrobiota; Endomicrobiia; Endomicrobiales; Endomicrobiaceae.